This 166-nucleotide ribosomal RNA is filed under the name uncultured bacterium. RNAcentral describes it as "partial 16S ribosomal RNA". It matches the Rfam family "Bacterial small subunit ribosomal RNA", at positions 1327 to 1500 of the family's 1533-position model. The record is from RNAcentral.
UGGAUUCGCUAGUAAUCGCGCAUCAGCCAUGGCGCGGUGAAUACGUUCCCGGGCCUUGUACACACCGCCCGUCAAGCCAUGGAAGCCGGGGGUGCCUGAAGUGUGCAGCCGCAAGGAGCGCCCUAAGGUAAAACCGGUGACUGGGGCUAAGUCGUAACAAGGUAAC